UGAUGUUCCUCGCCCACCCCUGAAGAUCCCAAGUGGGCUAGGGAAUAAUCAAAGGGAUC
Molecule: small RNA, 59 nt
Filed under: Pelobates cultripes (western spadefoot toad)
Lineage: Eukaryota; Metazoa; Chordata; Amphibia; Anura; Pelobatidae
Rfam family: Antizyme RNA frameshifting stimulation element
About the family: This family represents a structural element which is found in antizyme mRNA and is known to promote frameshifting. Antizyme genes have have two partially overlapping open reading frames, the second, which encodes the functional protein requires +1 translational frameshifting.
Source: RNAcentral